This 465-nucleotide ribosomal RNA is filed under the name uncultured bacterium. RNAcentral's name for it is "partial 16S ribosomal RNA". It matches the Rfam family "Bacterial small subunit ribosomal RNA", at positions 338 to 795 of the family's 1533-position model. The record is from RNAcentral.
CCUACGGGAGGCAGCAGUGGGGAAUAUUGCGCAAUGGACGAAAGCCUGACGCAGCGACGCCGCGUGAGGGAUGAAGGUCUUCUGAUCGUAAACCUCUGUUAGUAGGGAAGAACGGCGACUCUGCUAAUCAUCAGUGCAUUGACUGUACCUGCAAAGGAAGCACCGGCUCACUCCGUGCCAGCAGCCGCGGUAAUACGGAGGGUGCGAGCGCUAAUCGGAUUUACUGGGCGUAAAGGGCUCGUAGGCGGUAGGUCAAGUCAAGGGUGAAAUCCCCGGGCUCAACGUGGGAACUGCAUUUGAAACUGGCAGACUGGAGUGUGUGAGAGGUUAGUGGAAUUCCAGGUGUAGGGGUGAAAUGCGUAGAUAUCUGGAGGAACAUCGGUGGCGAAGGCGACUAUCUGGAAUAUAACUGACGCUGAGGAGCGAAAGCGUGGGUAGCAAACAGGAUUAGAUACCCGAGUAGUC